Bacillus sp. FJAT-27986 is the source of this 82-nucleotide transfer RNA. It matches the Rfam family "tRNA". From Rfam's summary of the family: Transfer RNA (tRNA) molecules are approximately 80 nucleotides in length. Their secondary structure includes four short double-helical elements and three loops (D, anti-codon, and T loops). Lineage: Bacteria; Bacillati; Bacillota; Bacilli; Caryophanales; Bacillaceae. The record is from Rfam.
GCGGGUGUGGCGGAAUUGGCAGACGCACCAGACUUAGGAUCUGGCGCCUUACGGCGUGGGGGUUCAAGUCCCUUCACCCGCA